Molecule: ribosomal RNA, 468 nt
Filed under: uncultured bacterium
Lineage: Bacteria
Description: partial 16S ribosomal RNA
Rfam family: Bacterial small subunit ribosomal RNA
Source: RNAcentral
GACGAACGCUGGCGGCGUGCUUAACACAUGCAAGUCGAACGGAAAGACCCUGCUUUUGUGGGGUGCUCGAGUGGCGAACGGGUGAGUAACACGUGAGUAACCUGCCCUUGACUUUGGGAUAACUUCAGGAAACUGGGGCUAAUACCGGAUAGGAGCUCCUGCUGCAUGGUGGGGGUUGGAAAGUUUCGGCGGUUGGGGAUGGACUCGCGGCUUAUCAGCUUGUUGGUGGGGUAGUGGCUUACCAAGGCUUUGACGGGUAGCCGGCCUGAGAGGGUGACCGGGCACAAUGGGACUGAGAUACGGACCAGACUGCUACGGGAGGCAGCAGUGGGGAAUAUUGCACAAUGGGCGGAAGCCUGAUGCAGCGACGCCGCGUGCGGAAUGACGGCCUUCGGGUUGUAAACCGCUUUCGCCUGUGACGAAGCGUGAGUGACGGUAAUGGAUAAAGAAGCACCGGCUAACUACGUG